Molecule: ribosomal RNA, 512 nt
Filed under: uncultured bacterium
Lineage: Bacteria
Description: partial 16S ribosomal RNA
Rfam family: Bacterial small subunit ribosomal RNA
Source: RNAcentral
GAUGAACGCUGGCGGCGUGCCUAAUACAUGCAAGUCGAACGAAACUUCUUUAUCACCGAGUGCUUGCACUCACCGAUAAAGAGUUGAGUGGCGAACGGGUGAGUAACACGUGGGCAACCUGCCCAAAAGAGGGGGAUAACACUUGGAAACAGGUGCUAAUACCGCAUAACCAUAGUUACCGCAUGGUAACUAUGUAAAAGGUGGCUAUACUACCGCUUUUGGAUGGGCCCGCGGCGCAUUAGCUAGUUGGUAGGGUAAAGGCUUACCAAGGCAAUGAUGCGUAGCCGAAUUGAGAGGUUGAUCGGCCACAUUGGGACUGAGACACGGCCCAAACUCCUACGGGAGGCAGCAGUAGGGAAUCUUCCACAAUGGGCGAAAGCCUGAUGGAGCAACGCCGCGUGGGUGAAGAAGGUCUUCGGAUCGUAAAACCCUGUUGUUAGGGAAGAAAGUGCGUGAGAGUAACUGUUCACGUUUCGACGGUAUCUAACCAGAAAGCCACUGCUAACUACGUG